This is a long non-coding RNA of Malurus melanocephalus (red-backed fairy wren), 427 nucleotides long. RefSeq lists it as uncharacterized. The record is from RefSeq and is a predicted model, not a curated record. The transcript is spliced from 3 exons. NCBI's taxonomy places the organism in Eukaryota, Metazoa, Chordata, Aves, Passeriformes, Maluridae.
CCUAAAUUCAGGGAGCAGCAGACGUUGACCACUUCUGCCUAGUUUUGUGUAAUAUGAUUCUAAACUCCUUUUGCCCCCGCCACGCAGCUCUCCAUGGAAACCCAUCACUUUCCACCCCGGCCCUUGUCAGCAGAGGAAUGAGUAAAUGGGGAGUCGAGCAAAAAGCUUUAGCUGGCAYAUCUAGCAUCAGCGUGAGCUGCAGAAGCAACAGAUUCGGCACUUGGAAACAUCAGGGGGAUUCUCCUCAAGAGACUCUGUAGUCAAAAGCCAGAGUGAUGGCUACCCACAUGGGCCUUUUAUUAAUCUGUGACAAAUUUAAGUCCUGGUUCUUCCAAAUGGCCUUCAGUUUCAGCUGCUCAUAGAAGUGAAACUACUCAGAACAACCUUCCUGCUGUCCACUGCAGCAUCCAUCACCCAAGUGAUUAAG